This 3759-nucleotide long non-coding RNA is filed under the name Notechis scutatus (mainland tiger snake). RNAcentral's name for it is "lncRNA (ENSNSUG00000014373.1)". Lineage: Eukaryota; Metazoa; Chordata; Lepidosauria; Squamata; Elapidae. The record is from RNAcentral.
AUGGGCGAUGCUGCAAAAUCUUGCUAUACGAGACGUAAUAAGGACUGGGGACUUACAAAUGAGGAGGAUUUCCAGAAAUGUGCUUCACGUCAAGUGAUGGACGAUUGUGGAAAUGGACACAGUAGCAAAGUGGACACCAGAUUUGAAAAAAGAAAGGGAACAUCAAGUGAUUAUGGAACAAGUCCUAGAAAGGGAGCACAUGCUGCUUUGAAUAGUCCAAAUUCUUCAAAAAACAUUGUUUACAAUCAAGGGGCAAGAAUAAAUGAUUCUUCAAAAGACCAAAUUAAGAAAUGGGUGUCUGACAACCAUCAAGCUAAUUCCAGCAGUUGGAGAGAAUUCAAAUCCACAGCCCGGAUACCUGUGAUUAUCAGACCACGGAAAGAGUUUCCUCAUGAAUGUGAGAGUUUUGGAGGCAGAAGUGGAAGAAGGCAGCUCUUUAGAGACCUCACAAGUGAAGAUUUAUCUGAUAGAAAAGGAAAUUCUGAAAUGAAGAAACAUAGGAAACCAAGGAGAUCAAGAAGAAUAAAAAAAGAAGACAAUGAUCAGGAUGAUGAACUGGAUGGCCCUGUUAUAGAUGAGUCUUUACUGACAGCAGAAGAAUUACUGGGGUUGCAGCAGGCUGAAGAACGACUUAAGGGAGACUACAUUUAUAGACUGAGGAAGCGACCUCGAAGCAACCCAACAGCUAAAUAUACUUGCAGGUUAUGUGACGUAUUGAUUGAGUCAGUGGCAUUUGCUCAUAAGCAUAUCAAGGAAAAAAGACACAAGAAAAACAUAAAGGAAAAACAAGAACAAGAACUGCUGAAUGCACUUCCUUCACCAACAGUUUUGCAAAUUGAAGCUAUUGGUAUAGCCGUUCAAAAAGUAGUAGAAGAGUUUGGAUUAAAUAAUGAAGAUGUAGAACAAAGGCUUGGAAUCAAAACUACUAUGGAGAAUGUAUUUCAACCAAAACUGCCAGAUUGUUCUCUAAGGUUGUAUGGUUCUUCCUGGAGCAGAUUUGGCUUUAAAAAUUCUGAUAUAAAUCUCGAUAUCCAGUUUCCAUCCAGUAUGUCCCAACCAGAUGUUCUCUUACUUGGACAAGAAAGCUUGAAGAGCAGUGAAUCUUUUAUUGAUGUUGAUGCAGAUUUCCAUGCUAAAGUGCCUGUGGUGGUGUGCAAAGAAAAACAAAGUGGCCUUGUUUGCAGAGUAAGUGCAGGAAAUGAUAAUGCUUGUCUGACGACCAAUCACUUGGCUAUGCUUGGAAGAUUAGAGCCUCAUCUUGUGUCCUUGGUCAUUGCUUUCAGACACUGGGCCAAGCUAUGUUGUAUAGAUCAUCCUGAAGAAGGUGGUUUACCAUCUUAUGUAUUUGCUCUAAUGGUUAUUUUCUUUCUGCAACAAAGGAAGGAACCUUUUCUGCCUGUCUAUUUAGGUUCAUGGAUUGGAGGAUUUUCAUUAAACAAAUUAGUGAAUUUUAAUCUUAAAAAAGUUGAAAAUAAUACUGUGGUCUGGGAAUACAGCCCUGGUAUUGAUCCCAGUUCUUCAAAGGAAUCUUCUCCUAAAAGGGGAAAGGUUCCUUUAGUAUUUGAUUCAGAUCAACAGUGUUCAGUUCCAAUUGGACAGCUAUGGGUUGAACUGCUUCGUUUUUAUGCCUUGGAGUUUAAUCUGUCUGACUUGGUGAUAAGCAUACGGCUCAAAGAAAAACUAGCUCGUGAAUCCAAGGACUGGCCUAAAAAAAGAAUUGCUGUGGAAGAUCCUUAUUCCGUAAAGAGGAAUGUGGCAAGAACUCUUAAUAGUCAGUUAGUAUAUGAGUAUAUACUUCAUUGUUUACGGUCAACUUACAAGUAUUUUGCCUUGCCUCAUAAACAGAAUGCAAAAAACAACCAAAUACAAUCUCUAGAGGGCUCAAUACCUCUAGAACCUGAGAAGAAUGCCUUUAAGCAAACAGUCCCUGAUAUAAAAAAUGACCAUAAUGAAAUGGAGAAUACUGUAAUAGACAGCUGUAUAACUUCUACCAAGAAAAGUUCAUAUUUUCCUGAAGAACAUAUGUGUGAGCCUUCUCAGGUAUUUAUUGAUGAAAACUUUGUGGAAGAACAGUUGGCAGAUGGUGAACAUUUAGGAAUGUCUUAUGAGGACUCAGAUUGCAUAAUUGAAGAAUUCAUUUCGGGUGACAAUGAGGAAUUUAAACCAAGCUGUGAAGAGACUGAGAGUGGAAAUGAAGAGGAGGAAGAGGGGCAUGUACAGGAACAUUUGGAUAGUAACCAAGACAGUGAAAGUGGAGAUCUUGCUAUUCGAAUUAGUGAGCAUGAUGUUGAAACAGACAGCAUUUCUGAUUUGGAAAAUUUUCAAAAUGUAAUAACUGUCCUUGAGGAGUUUGGUACUGAUGAACUGGAUGAUUCCCUGUUCAAACUGGAACCGCCAACUCAGGAACAAGUAUCUGAAAUGGAUAACUCGGAAGAAGAUGAGGAGGAAGAAACAGAGGAAGAAGACGAAGAGCAUAGUAUUAAAAACCAAGGGCAACAUGAGAACAUAAUCAAUACCGAAGAUGAGCUGGACAAUACAUACACUGGAUCUGGUGUUGAAGAACCUCUUUCCGAAGAGGAAUUGCUUAUUGCUCAUGGGGACAUUGCGCUAAAGAAGAGAGUAGAUGAAUUUUCAAGUGUAGAUUUGAACAAAGAAGAUGAUCCUGAAAAAGAAGUUCUUACUGAAAGCGACAAGCCAGUAGACCAGAGUAAUAAGCUUGAAUUCUUCUAUGAAUUUAAUAAAGCUGCUUUCACAAAAGGCAAGACUCCUACAGUUGUAUGCAGUUUAUGUAAGCGAGAAGGUCAUCUAAAGAGGGACUGUCCAGAAGACUUUAAAAAAAUUGAACUGGAUCCUUUGCCACCAUUAACGUCCAAGUUUUCUAGUAUUCUGGAUCAAGUGUGCAUUCAAUGUUACAAAGAUUUUGCUCCAAAUGUUAUAGAAGACCAGGCUCGGGAAUAUAUAAGACAAAAUCUUGAAGGUUUCAUCCGACAAGAAUUUCCAGGCACAAAAUUAAACUUGUUUGGGUCUUCAAAGAAUGGAUUUGGCUUCAAGCAAAGCGAUCUUGAUAUUUGUAUGACAAUUGAUGGUCUGGAAACUGCUGAGGGACUUGAUUGUAUAAGAAUUAUUAAAGAACUUGCAAGAGUGUUGAAGAAACAUUCAGGUUUAAGAAAUAUCUUACCCAUAACAACUGCUAAAGUGCCGAUUGUCAAGUUUUUUCAUAUCCGAAGUGGCCUUGAAGUAGACAUCAGUCUGUAUAACACAUUGGCUCUGCAUAACACAAGGCUCUUGUCUUGUUAUGCCACAAUUGAUCCCAGAGUAAAAUAUCUUUGCUACACAAUGAAAGUAUUUACAAAGAUGUGCGACAUUGGUGAUGCAUCCAGAGGGAGCUUAUCUUCCUAUGCAUAUACGCUAAUGGUGCUCUAUUUUCUUCAGCAGAGAAGUCCACCUGUUAUUCCAGUUCUUCAAGAGAUCUGUACAGAGCCAAAGAAACCUGAAAUUCUAGUUGAUGGCUGGAAUGUUUAUUUCUUUGACAGAAUAAAUGAACUGUCAGAUGUUUGGUCAGAUUUUGGUAAAAAUAAAGAAUCCAUUGGUGAAUUAUGGCUAGGACUUCUACGUUUUUAUACUGAGGAAUUUGAUUUUAAAGAGCAUGUUAUCUGCAUCCGAAGAAAAAAUUUGCUUACAACGUUCAAGAAACAGUGGACUUCGAAAUACAUAGUCAUUGAAGGUAUCUACUUUAUGAACAUUUUAUUGACAUUUUAA